Molecule: ribosomal RNA, 484 nt
Filed under: uncultured bacterium
Lineage: Bacteria
Description: partial 16S ribosomal RNA
Rfam family: Bacterial small subunit ribosomal RNA
Source: RNAcentral
AUUGAACGCUGGCGGCAUGCUUUACACAUGCAAGUCGAACGGCAGCGCGGGCUUCGGCCUGGCGGCGAGUGGCGAACGGGUGAGUAAUGCAUCGGAACGUGCCCAGUAGUGGGGGAUAGCCCGGCGAAAGCCGGAUUAAUACCGCAUACGACCUGAGGGUGAAAGCGGGGGACCGACAGGCCUCGCGCUAUUGGAGCGGCCGAUGUCGGAUUAGCUAGUUGGUGGGGUAAAGGCUUACCAAGGCGACGAUCCGUAGCUGGUCUGAGAGGACGACCAGCCACACUGGAACUGAGACACGGCCCAGACUCCUACGGGAGGCAGCAGUGGGGAAUUUUGGACAAUGGGGGCAACCCUGAUCCAGCCAUGCCGCGUGCGGGAAGAAGGCCUUCGGGUUGUAAACCGCUUUUGUUCGGGAAGAAAUCCUCUGGGCUAAUACCCCGGGGGGAUGACGGUACCGGAAGAAUAAGCACCGGCUAACUACGUG